GACUGGGAUACCACUUGGAAACAGGUGCUAAUACCGGAUAACAACAUGAAUCGCAUGAUUCAAGUUUGAAAGGCGGCGCAAGCUGUCACUUUAGGAUGAGCCCGCGGCGCAUUAGCUAGUUGGUGGGGUAAAGGCCUACCAAGGCAAUGAUGCGUAGCCGAGUUGAGAGACUGAUCGGCCACAUUGGGACUGAGACACGGCCCAAACUCCUACGGGAGGCAGCAGUAGGGAAUCUUCCACAAUGGACGCAAGUCUGAUGGAGCAACGCCGCGUGAGUGAAGAAGGUCUUCGGAUCGUAAAGCUCUGUUGUUGGUGAAGAAGGAUAGAGGCAGUAACUGGUCUUUAUUUGACGGUAAUCAACCAGAAAGUCACGGCUAACUACGUGCCAGCAGCCGCGGUAAUACGUAGGUGGCAAGCGUUGUCCGGAUUUAUUGGGCGUAAAGCGAGCGCAGGCGGAAUGAUAAGUCUGAUGUGAAAGCCCACGGCUCAACCGUGGAACUGCAUCGGAAACUGUCAUUCUUGAGUGCAGAAGAGGAGAGUGGAACUCCAUGUGUAGCGGUGGAAUGCGUAGAUAUAUGGAAGAACACCAGUGGCGAAGGCGGCUCUCUGGUCUGCAACUGACGCUGAGGCUCGAAAGCAUGGGUAGCGAACAGGAUUAGAUACCCUGGUAGUCCAUGCCGUAAACGAUGAGCGCUAGGUGUUGGGGACUUUCCGGUCCUCAGUGCCGCAGCAAACGCAUUAAGCGCUC
RNAcentral lists this ribosomal RNA (748 nucleotides) under Lactobacillus delbrueckii subsp. bulgaricus. RNAcentral's name for it is "bacterial SSU rRNA". It matches the Rfam family "Bacterial small subunit ribosomal RNA", at positions 136 to 869 of the family's 1533-position model. Lineage: Bacteria; Bacillati; Bacillota; Bacilli; Lactobacillales; Lactobacillaceae. The record is from RNAcentral.